AUCCAGCUGACGAGUCCCAAAUAGGACGAAACAAGCUUCCUGAAU
Non-coding RNA from Schistosoma mansoni, 45 nucleotides. The record is from Rfam. NCBI's taxonomy places the organism in Eukaryota, Metazoa, Platyhelminthes, Trematoda, Strigeidida, Schistosomatidae.